GGCCCCGUAGCUCAGUGGAUAGAGCAGUAGCCUUCUAAGCUAUUGGCCGGCAGUUCGAAUCUGCCCGGGGUCGCCA
RNAcentral lists this transfer RNA (76 nucleotides) under bacterium. RNAcentral's name for it is "tRNA-Arg". It matches the Rfam family "tRNA". From Rfam's summary of the family: Transfer RNA (tRNA) molecules are approximately 80 nucleotides in length. The record is from RNAcentral. RNAcentral also lists the same sequence under 1 other name.